ACGUUUUAGCUCCCCGUUGGAAAAAGUCAUGAUGAUUGGUUUAUUUUUCCGCCGAGUUCCCUCCCUCCUUCUCCUCUGUUCACCGCCGCGACUCGGCACUAUCUCUAUUCAGAGAAUGUAACCUUUCUAAUUGUAUGGAGAUUUCGUCUCUGUAUGUAGACUGUAUUUGUUUUUUUUUUUGUAUGUGAUGUACACACUCACACUGAUAGGGUAUAAAAUUGAUUCCGAACCUCUAAAAACAAAUCUGGUAGAUAGAUAGUGAUAGCCUUCGUUGAGACUUCCUCGAUUAUCUUGACAAGUCCAUUUCUCUAGGGCUCGUGAUGGGGUUGGACUCUCUCUCACUGAAUUCACCUUUUUACGCUUUGAUUUGUUUUUUUCAGAGAGAUAUUGUAAGCAUCUCAAUUCUCAAAGGAUUCAAUAAACAAUCUUCUCACACUGACUGAGGUAUUCAUUUGUUCAUUUAGUCUCAUCUGAUGAUAAAAUUGGUUUGUUGCUGUGUAAAGGAUAUAUAUGUCUGCUAUUGAAUUCAAUUCAAUUUCAACAUUUUUGACAUCAUUACUACAAUCUGAGACUGGAAACUUAGUAACUUUGAUAGACUAGUUGUAGUGUCUCUGGUAGUGAAUAAGGUUUUCUUUCUUAUUGUUCCCCAGCACUUGAGUUAUUUGGAGAGUCUUGAUGCCAAUUUGAAUGACUUAACAAAAUUGAUUACUAAUUUUAUUUGAUCCAGUUAGAAAGUGGGUCACCUGGUGUCGCAGGUGAGGACUGCACAAAUGGCACAGCCCGAGAGAACUUGAAAGGAGCCUGAAACACCACGUAUGAAAGGCUUAUACUGGACUGCAAUGUGCCUAGUAACUAACUCGACCAGACUGGUAUAAAUCGUAUUGCUAGGUUUUAUAUUCAGUUUGCACAAAGUGAGAAGUGGAAAUCGGAAA
This 932-nucleotide long non-coding RNA is filed under the name Capsella grandiflora. RNAcentral describes it as "long non-coding RNA (CGRA_LNC001725)". Lineage: Eukaryota; Viridiplantae; Streptophyta; Magnoliopsida; Brassicales; Brassicaceae. The record is from RNAcentral.